CUGGUGCCCAAAAAGUGUCAGCCACUCUGCCAGUUUAGGGGAGAAAACUUCUCACCUGUCCAAAGCAUAGCCUUGCUCCUGCCUGCCCUACCCAGCUAUGACACUGUCCCUGAGCAGAGAUGAGCACAGGACUUUGGGCCCUGGAUGCCGGAGAGUGGGUGUUUGUGUGAUUCCCCUGCAGCCUGGAACAGGCCCCAAAGGCAACAGCAUGAAGGCUGUCCAGAGGUUCUGCCAUCACCCUCAGCUGGGUGGGGUGCUGAGCAGUGAGGGAGGGGACCUGGGAGGGGGGCCCAGCCUGGAUCCUGCAGGGGAGAAGAGAAGACAACCAGAAGCCAGCAGUUGUGGCUCAGAUCUGAGCCCGAGCAGCCUCUCAAGGUAGAGGCAGACACCCCCCACCCCACCCUGUGCAGAAAGAAGCCUUGCCAGGCUGCCCUGAGGCUGGCACAGAGUCCAGGCAGGCUCAGUGGCCAUCAUGCCCCUACAAUGACUGUCACUCCAUCUCCGUGCGCCUGGCCUCUGCUGGCUCUGGCCAGGGGUGGUCACAGCACUAGGGUGGCAGGGUGGCCUCUGACUCUGCGCCAGCCUGCACUGGCCUGUGGUGCCCUGGCCUCUGCUGGCUCUGGCUCUGGCACCGGCCCCGUGUUGGCUCCUUCGGCCUUCACAUACCUGCUGUGGCCACCACAGGCCCAGGACCCCCAUAGGGUGGCCACCCCACCUCCACCCCAGGAGCCCCAGGUAUCCAGCUGUCACCCCCUCCCUCCCUUCUGGCCUCCCCCUGUCCUUCUCCAGUUGCCUUCUUUUCCUGUGGGCGCCCCACCCACCUGCCUGCCUCACCUGUUCCGCCUCAGCCCCCAGGGUCCCCGACAUCCUGAGCUCAGUGAGGAGGGGCUUGGGAGCCCCAGAAGCCGAGGGGCCCCUGCCCUGCCCAUCUCCGGCUCCCUUUAGCCCCCUGCCAGCCCCAUGUAAGUAGCCUGGGCCCUGCUGCUGUGGGGGUCAUGUUGGAGGGCUGGCAACCCCCUAGAGGGGCCACUCCAGAGCCGAGGGCAGGCUGAGCGUGGACCUUGGCUCCAGCCUCAUCACCCCACAAUCCCUCACUGGGGCUUUCCAGGGUGGCCCCAGCCCAUCGAGCCCCACCUCUUUGUGAGGAGGGCCCUGGACCACUUUUCUGCUCCAGGCCACUGGGCAGGAUGGGAGGUCCCGGAGGCUCGGGCCUCAAUUCCAGUCUUCAGGGUCGGUGCAGGCCUCACUCCACCUCAGCUUGCGGGCGGCGGGGCUCUUUGCUAUUGAGUCAGGCUCUGAUUCAGGGCCUGAGGGGUCUAGAACACGGGACCCCUCCUACUGGCCUCCUCCGCCUUGCCGCCGCCUGGUAUGUCUGUCUGCCUCAUGUUCACGACUCAUCUGUUCCACCCCAGCCACCAGGAUCUCUGACAUCCUGAACUCUGUGAGAAGGGGCUCAGGAACCCCAGAAGCCGAGGGCCCCCUCUCAGUGGGGCCCCCGCCCUGCCUGUCUCCGGCUCUCCUAGGCCCCUUGCCCUCCCCGUCCCCCAGGAUCUCUGACAUCCUGAACUCUGUGAGGAGGGGCUCAGGGACCCCAGAAGCCGAGGGCCCCUCGCCAGUGGGGACCCCGCCCUGCCCAUUUCCGACUAUCCCUGGCCCCCUGCCCACCCCGUCCCGGAAGCAGGAGAUCAUUAAGACCACGGAGCAGCUCAUCGAGGCCGUCAACAACGGUGACUUUGAAGCCUACGCGAAAAUCUGUGACCCAGGGCUGACCUCGUUUGAGCCUGAAGCACUGGGCAACCUGGUUGAAGGGAUGGACUUCCACAGAUUCUACUUCGAGAACCUGCUGGCCAAGAACAGCAAGCCGAUCCACACGACCAUCCUGAACCCGCACGUGCACGUCAUCGGAGAGGACGCCGCCUGCAUCGCUUACAUCCGGCUCACGCAGUACAUUGACGGGCAGGGCCGGCCCCGCACCAGCCAGUCUGAGGAGACCCGCGUGUGGCACCGCCGUGACGGCAAGUGGCAGAACGUGCACUUCCACUGCUCGGGCGCGCCUGUGGCCCCGCUGCAGUGAAGAGCUGCGCCCUGGUUUCGCCGGACAGAGUUGGUGUUUGGAGCCCGACUGCCCUCGGGCACACGGCCUGCCUGUCGCAUGUUUGUGUCUGCCUCGUUCCCUCCCCUGGUGCCUGUGUCUGCAGAAAAACAAGACCAGAUGUGAUUUGUUUAAAAAAAA
This 2233-nucleotide small RNA is filed under the name Pongo abelii (Sumatran orangutan). RNAcentral's name for it is "processed transcript". The record is from RNAcentral. Lineage: Eukaryota; Metazoa; Chordata; Mammalia; Primates; Hominidae.